This 272-nucleotide unclassified non-coding RNA is filed under the name Hevea brasiliensis (rubber tree). Lineage: Eukaryota; Viridiplantae; Streptophyta; Magnoliopsida; Malpighiales; Euphorbiaceae. The record is from RNAcentral.
CCACGCCUUCCUCUUUACUUGCUUGUAGUGUGAGUGCCAGUGUGCCACUUCCAAGAGCUACCUCACAAGGAACUACAAAUCUUUAACUUCUGACAUCUCUCUCCCNNNNGGAAUCGCAUAGAGAGAGAGAGAGAGAGAGAGAGAGAGAGAGAGAGAGAGAGAGCUAAAAUAGGAAAGGGAAAAUGGGUGUAGGCGCCAGCAACUUUGUCAUCAGAUGGAUCAACUUUCUCACCAUGCUUUUAGCUAUAGCUGUCAUAAUUUUCGGAGUGUGG